CCCUGAUGUUAGCGGCGGACGGGUGAGUAACACGUGGGUAACCUGCCUGUAAGACUGGGAUAACUCCGGGAAACCGGGGCUAAUACCGGAUGGUUGUUUGAACCGCAUGGUUCAAACAUAAAAGGUGGCUUCGGCUACCACUUACAGAUGGACCCGCGGCGCAUUAGCUAGUUGGUGAGGUAACGGCUCACCAAGGCAACGAUGCGUAGCCGACCUGAGAGGGUGAUCGGCCACACUGGGACUGAGACACGGCCCAGACUCCUACGGGAGGCAGCAGUAGGGAAUCUUCCGCAAUGGACGAAAGUCUGACGGAGCAACGCCGCGUGAGUGAUGAAGGUUUUCGGAUCGUAAAGCUCUGUUGUUAGGGAAGAACAAGUACCGUUCGAAUAGGGCGGUACCUUGACGGUACCUAACCAGAAAGCCACGGCUAACUACGUGCCAGCAGCCGCGGUAAUACGUAGGUGGCAAGCGUUGUCCGGAAUUAUUGGGCGUAAAGGGCU
RNAcentral lists this ribosomal RNA (500 nucleotides) under Bacillus sp. (in: firmicutes). Its description in RNAcentral is "bacterial SSU rRNA". It matches the Rfam family "Bacterial small subunit ribosomal RNA", at positions 84 to 569 of the family's 1533-position model. The record is from RNAcentral. Lineage: Bacteria; Bacillati; Bacillota; Bacilli; Caryophanales; Bacillaceae.